Molecule: long non-coding RNA, 243 nt
Filed under: Manihot esculenta (cassava)
Lineage: Eukaryota; Viridiplantae; Streptophyta; Magnoliopsida; Malpighiales; Euphorbiaceae
Description: long non-coding RNA (MESC_LNC005065)
Source: RNAcentral
UUUAAAUUGAGGUAAAACUGAUUAUAUAUGAAAUGGAUAGAAAUUUAAAUAGUGAUUGAUAAGGACCGACAACGAAACAAGCGUCGAGUUAAUAGACAAAGAUUGAGUAAAUAUAUUGAGAAAUGGCUAUUUGUCAGAGUUGGUUGUUAUUUGUGAAAGAAAAGAGAAAAUCCUUACGGCAACAGUAAGAAGUGAGAACCAAAAGGAGAAACACUGUAGUAGAUAAAUUAAAAGAAAAAAUAG